GCCCUGGUAGCUCAGUUGGUGGAGCGUUACCUUGGUAAGGUAAAGGUCGAGAGUUCGAUCCUCUCCCAGGGCU
RNAcentral lists this transfer RNA (73 nucleotides) under Candidatus Woesearchaeota archaeon. RNAcentral describes it as "tRNA-Thr". It matches the Rfam family "tRNA". Rfam says of the family: Transfer RNA (tRNA) molecules are approximately 80 nucleotides in length. Their secondary structure includes four short double-helical elements and three loops (D, anti-codon, and T loops). Further hydrogen bonds mediate the characteristic L-shaped molecular structure. tRNAs have two regions of fundamental functional importance: the anti-codon, which is responsible for specific mRNA codon recognition, and the 3' end, to which the tRNAs corresponding amino acid is attached (by aminoacyl-tRNA synthetases). tRNAs cope with the degeneracy of the genetic code in two manners: having more than one tRNA (with a specific anti-codon) for a particular amino acid; and 'wobble' base-pairing, i.e. permitting non-standard base-pairing at the 3rd anti-codon position. The record is from RNAcentral. Lineage: Archaea; Nanobdellati; Candidatus Woesearchaeota.